This 254-nucleotide ribosomal RNA is filed under the name uncultured bacterium. Its description in RNAcentral is "partial 16S ribosomal RNA". It matches the Rfam family "Bacterial small subunit ribosomal RNA", at positions 524 to 776 of the family's 1533-position model. The record is from RNAcentral.
CACGUAGGGGGCAAGCGUUAUCCGGAUUUAUUGGGCGUAAAGAGCUCGUAGGCGGCCGUUCGCGUCGGAUGUGAAAGCUCAGGGCUCAACUCUGAGAUGCCAUUCGAUACGGGACGGCUAGAGGUAGGUAGGGGAGAGUGGAAUUCCUGGUGUAGCGGUGAAAUGCGCAGAUAUCAAGAGGAACACCUGAGGUGAAGACGGGUUGCUGGGCCGACACUGACGCUGAGUGCGCGAAAGCCAGGGGAGCAAACGGG